Molecule: non-coding RNA, 302 nt
Organism: Pelobates cultripes (western spadefoot toad)
Lineage: Eukaryota; Metazoa; Chordata; Amphibia; Anura; Pelobatidae
Source: the annotation of a GenBank genome assembly
CAAUGGGUGGACUAACAGACACGUAAUUGUAAUUAGAGAAAUGGACACACAGGAACUGAGGGGUUGAGGGCCCUGCUCAAUGAGCUCACAUGCUAGAGGGAGUGGGGUAUAGUGAUACAAAAGGUAUAACUAGGGGUAAUGAAAUAGCUAUGUUAUUAAAUGCCAUGCCAUUUCCUUUCAUCUCAUAACUUACUCGGAAUACCAUUAUAUUAUUUUAUAUAGCGCAAGCAAAUUCCAUAGCGCUGUAAAAUGGGAUAAACACAGUACUAAAAUAGCUCAAUUAUAGAAGUGCAUUAUCCUUC